RNAcentral lists this ribosomal RNA (372 nucleotides) under uncultured organism. RNAcentral's name for it is "bacterial SSU rRNA". It matches the Rfam family "Bacterial small subunit ribosomal RNA", at positions 526 to 896 of the family's 1533-position model. The record is from RNAcentral.
CGUAGGGUGCGAGCGUUAAUCGGAAUUACUGGGCGUAAAGCGUGCGCAGGCGGUUUUGUAAGACAGGCGUGAAAUCCCCGGGCUCAACCUGGGAACUGCGCUUGUGACUGCAAGGCUAGAGUACGGUAGAGGGGGGUGGAAUUCCACGUGUAGCAGUGAAAUGCGUAGAGAUGUGGAGGAACACCAAUGGCGAAGGCAGCCCCCUGGGUCGAUACUGACGCUCAUGCACGAAAGCGUGGGUAGCAAACAGGAUUAGAUACCCUGGUAGUCCACGCCCUAAACGAUGUCAACUAGGUGUUGGGUGGGUAAAACCAUUUAGUACCGGAGCUAACGCGUGAAGUUGACCGCCUGGGGAGUACGGCCGCAAGGUUA